RNAcentral lists this ribosomal RNA (439 nucleotides) under uncultured bacterium. Its description in RNAcentral is "partial 16S ribosomal RNA". It matches the Rfam family "Bacterial small subunit ribosomal RNA", at positions 339 to 795 of the family's 1533-position model. The record is from RNAcentral.
CUACGGGUCGCUGCAGUGGGGAAUAUUGCACAAUGGGGGAAACCCUGAUGCAGCAACGCCGCGUGGAGGAUGACGCAUUUCGGUGUGUAAACUCCUUUUAUUUAGGAAGAAAUUUGACGGUACUAAAUGAAUAAGCACCGGCUAACUCCGUGCCAGCAGCCGCGGUAAUACGGAGGGUGCAAGCGUUACUCGGAAUCACUGGGCGUAAAGGGCGCGUAGGCGGUUUGAUAAGUUGGAUGUGAAAUCCUAUGGCUUAACCAUAGAACUGCAUCCAAAACUGUCAGACUAGAGUGAGGAGAGGUGAAUGGAAUUAGUGGUGUAGGGGUAAAAUCCGUAGAGAUCACUAGGAAUACUCAUAGCGAAGGCGAUUCACUGGAACUUUACUGACGCUGAGGCGUGAAAGCAUGGGGAGCAAACAGGAUUAGAUACCCCGGUAGUC